RNAcentral lists this ribosomal RNA (466 nucleotides) under uncultured bacterium. RNAcentral's name for it is "partial 16S ribosomal RNA". It matches the Rfam family "Bacterial small subunit ribosomal RNA", at positions 28 to 507 of the family's 1533-position model. The record is from RNAcentral.
GACGAACGCUGGCGGCGUGCUUAACACAUGCAAGUCGAACGGAAAGGCCCAGCUUGCUGGGUACUCGAGUGGCGAACGGGUGAGUAACACGUGGGUGAUCUGCCCUGCACUCUGGGAUAAGCCUGGGAAACUGGGUCUAAUACCGGAUAUGACCGACUGUCGCAUGGUGGUUGGUGGAAAGCUUUUGCGGUGUGGGAUGGGCCCGCGGCCUAUCAGCUUGUUGGUGGGGUAAUGGCCUACCAAGGCGACGACGGGUAGCCGACCUGAGAGGGUGAUCGGCCACACUGGGACUGAGACACGGCCCAGACUCCUACGGGAGGCAGCAGUGGGGAAUAUUGCACAAUGGGCGCAAGCCUGAUGCAGCGACGCCGCGUGAGGGAUGACGGCCCUCGGGUUGUAAACCUCUUUCACCAGGGACGAAGCGUGAGUGACGGUACCUGGAGAAGAAGCACCGGCCAACUACGUG